AUGGAUGAGGCUAUUAUAUGCCACAUUAUUAGGUACGACACCAUUACCAAUCAUCUGACGAAGGAAAUACUCUGCUUUGUCCAUUGCUCUGGCCUUGCACAGCGCAUCAAUAACCGAGCUAUAUGUCACCACAUCGGGCAUAACGCCCUGCUGUGCCAUUCCAUGGAACAGAUCGCACGCCUUGCCUACUUGGCCUUCCCUAAAGAAGCCAUGGAUGACGGUGUUAUAUGCCACCACAUCGGGAGUGCAGCCCAGCUCAGGCAUCCUGUGAAGCAGCACGUCCAGAGCCUCAUCUGUGCGCUUUGCGUGGCAGAGUCCCUUGAGGAGGGUGCAGAAGAUGACUUGGUUUGCCUCCAGGCCCGUCCUGAAGAGACGGCCGAAGAAAGCGAGCGCCAGAUCCGGGCGGCACGCGCGGCAGCAACAGUCCAUGAGGAUGCGGAAAAAGAUCCAAAUCUAAAAUGCAAAGGUCGUCUUAUUCAAAACCUCAAUCAUCACAUCCCCUCUCUCCCACUUCACACCUCAGAACGCACUGUUCUUAUAGAGAGAAAGGCGCUUUCCCAUCUUCUUAACCUGAAAUGA
This 579-nucleotide ribosomal RNA is filed under the name Triticum aestivum (bread wheat). Its description in RNAcentral is "partial small subunit ribosomal RNA". The record is from RNAcentral. Lineage: Eukaryota; Viridiplantae; Streptophyta; Magnoliopsida; Poales; Poaceae.